UGGGGUAUGGCUCAAAAAGUAGAGUACCUGCCUAGAAAGCAUGAAUCCCUGAGUUCAAAAUUCCAGUAACCUUU
Molecule: transfer RNA, 74 nt
Filed under: Dipodomys ordii (Ord's kangaroo rat)
Lineage: Eukaryota; Metazoa; Chordata; Mammalia; Rodentia; Heteromyidae
Rfam family: tRNA
About the family: Transfer RNA (tRNA) molecules are approximately 80 nucleotides in length. Their secondary structure includes four short double-helical elements and three loops (D, anti-codon, and T loops).
Source: Rfam by way of RNAcentral